Molecule: long non-coding RNA, 1294 nt
Filed under: Carica papaya (papaya)
Lineage: Eukaryota; Viridiplantae; Streptophyta; Magnoliopsida; Brassicales; Caricaceae
Description: long non-coding RNA (CPAP_LNC004935)
Source: RNAcentral
UUUCCUGAUGAUUGAAAUGUAAAGGUGUGAUAUAUGUUGUGUUAUAAAGUGUAUAUGAUUUUAUGAUAUUGUAAGGUUAUUAUUUUCAUAUGUUGUUUUCAUGGAUCUCACCGAGGUAAGUGGACAGUAAAUGAUUUUAUUAUUGAUAAAAGAAUUUGUUAUAAAUUAUGCUCAAUUGGUCAUUUUUGUUUUCUACUCACCUUUACUUCUGUGCCGGUGAGAUAGUGUGAUGUCUUUACUGGGCUGAUGUAGCUCAUUCCUUAUUUAACCAUUUCAGAUCAGAAAGAUGUUGCCGAGCCCGUUCUGCAGGAAGACGGCGAAGGGGACGCCUAAAGACUCCAUAGUUAUAUUUAUAUUUCUUAUUUCGAGUAUCUCUUUUAGUUAGUUUGUUCUUUCAUGUUUUGAGUACGUUUUAGUUAUUGUGUAAGGGAUGUUAAUCAAAAUUUUUAUUACGCUUCCGCAUUUGAGAUUUUUAAUACAUAUAUUUCAUUUAAAUCUCUAGGGCCGUUACAGCGUCACCAUCGUAGUUUCGGCCAUCCAUCAGUCACGUCCAUUAGUUGUCGCAUAACAUCAAGUCACUUUUUCCCCUCCCUCUCUCUUCACAGGAUUUUGCCACUUGGUGAAAAUCCAACAGUCCUUAUUUUCUAUAAAUAUGGACCUUUUUUCCACCAUUUUUUCACCACUCUAACUUCAUUCUUCCAUUCACUAAGAAAUUCUAGAGAGAGAGUGCUAGAGUGAGAAGAGGAAGGAAUAAAAAAAGGACCUAGGAAAAACUUCAAGUUUUGAAAAGGAAUUUGAUAUUUAUAUCUACAUUCUAAGGAGCAUUUUUAGAAUUAAUUAAUGGAAUGCUAAACGGUUGUUGUAUGCUUAAUUGUUGUUAUAUUUAAUAUUACUUAUGCAUAUGUUAUAUGUUAAUUCAUGUUUAUAUUAUGCAUAUAAAUAAAUAAUUAAAGUGAACAUGUGAUAUGAUAAAGUAAUUGUAACACCCCGAAAACUUUUGUGCUUAAUUUCUAAUGUGAUAUCCUAUUUAUUCGGGCCCUGAGGUCGUUUAAACUCCUUAAUAUUUCGUAAUUUUAAAGUUUUGUAUGAAUAUCGUAUUUUAUAUUUUAAAUUUUGUAUUUUAUUUGAUUAAAUAAUUCUUAAAACUUAUUAUUUUAUUUUGUCGUAAGAAAAAUCAUAUUAUAUUUUUUAUUUAAAUAAAUUUAAGGAAAAAUAGAGAAAAUAGUGAAAAAUUCCGUAGGAAGGAUCAUGCCCAUGCAGCCAGUGUAGGACAUGGUCCCAUCCGCACGGGGCG